CAAUGCACCGAAGACCGCGAGACAACGUUGUCGUCUCGCUCACUGAUCGCCCAUCUGUGAGCACGACACCGGCAUGAAACAGCCAGGGAUCAAACCCAUCAAACGACCGUUGGGGCAGUGUAACCGGCCGGGGUCGGUCGCGUAACUGUCGUUCGCCGCCGCUGCAAGCUUCGAAUGCGCGCCAUCCGGAGCGCACGGCCGUUGGCCCAGCCGCCUACGUGCCGUGUGCAAGCUUCGUCUGAUUGGUUGAACUGAGCGCCGCGACGUGUGCCCAUGCGAGCCGAGUCACUUUGGCGGGAGGAUUGUGUUGUGCUGGUGCUUGAUUGAUGACACUCUGGCCUACAUCGAUGGUGUGUUCCUUGGCGCACUUUUUGCGCAUGUACCACAGGCGGCCGUCUUCCUUCUUGCAAUUGGUGGUUCCAGGACGGACAACGGCGCAGCUAUUGCGGAGCCCGUACACGGGAGCAGCGAAGAUAUGCGCCGCGGUGGAUGACAGGCAACGUGUGCCGGUAACGCGUGCCUUAUAGCCUUGAAGAUGGGAGACCGCCGAGGAUCACCUGGCUCGGGGGGACUUCCUCAACAUUAGCGUCACCGUCAGCAUGUGGAGCAGCAGCAAAAUUUGGUCCACAAUAGCGACAAACGGCGCCAGACUAUACACGAGGGACAAGAAAUGGAAGCGUGGACGGUCACAAAGCG
This is a non-coding RNA of Dermacentor albipictus, 696 nucleotides long. The record is from RefSeq and is a predicted model, not a curated record. Lineage: Eukaryota; Metazoa; Arthropoda; Arachnida; Ixodida; Ixodidae.